GACGAACGCUGGCGGCGUGCUUAACACAUGCAAGUCGAACGGAAAGGCCCUGCUUUUGUGGGGUGCUCGAGUGGCGAACGGGUGAGUAACACGUGAGUAACCUGUCCUUGACUUUGGGGUAACUUCAGGCAACUGGGGCUAAUACCGGCUAGGAGCUCCUGCUGCUUGGUGGGGGUUGGAUGGUUUCGGCGGUUGGGGAUGGACUCGCGGCUUAUCAGCUUGUUGGUGGGGUAGUGGCUUACCAAGGCUUUGAAGGGUAGCCGGCCUGGGAGGGUGACCGGCCACAUUAGGACUGAGAUACGGCACAGACUACUACGGGACGCAGCAGUGGGGAAUAUAGCACAGUAGGCGGAAGCCUGAUGCAGCAACGCCGCGUGCGGGAUGACGGCCUGCGGGUUGGGAACCGCUUUCGCCUGUGACGAAGCGAGAGUGACGGUAACGGGUGAAGAAGCACCGGCUAACUACGUG
Molecule: ribosomal RNA, 468 nt
Filed under: uncultured bacterium
Lineage: Bacteria
Description: partial 16S ribosomal RNA
Rfam family: Bacterial small subunit ribosomal RNA
Source: RNAcentral